RNAcentral lists this ribosomal RNA (496 nucleotides) under uncultured bacterium. RNAcentral describes it as "partial 16S ribosomal RNA". It matches the Rfam family "Bacterial small subunit ribosomal RNA", at positions 28 to 506 of the family's 1533-position model. The record is from RNAcentral.
GAUGAACGCUGGCGGCGUGCCUAAUACAUGCAAGUCGAGCGAACAGACGAGGAGCUUGCUCCUCUGACGUUAGCGGCGGACGGGUGAGUAACACGUGGAUAACCUACCUAUAAGACUGGGAUAACUUCGGGAAACCGGAGCUAAUACCGGAUAAUAUAUUGAACCGCAUGGUUCAAUAGUGAAAGACGGUUUUGCUGCCACUUAUAGAUGGAUCCGCGCCGCAUUAGCUAGUUGGUAAGGUAACGGCUUACCAAGGCAACGAUGCGUAGCCGACCUGAGAGGGGGUACGGCCACCCGGGAACUGAGCCGCGGCCCAGGUCCCUAGGGGGGGCCGAGGUGGGGAAUCUUCCGCAAUGGGCGAAAGCCUGACGGAGCAACGCCGGGUGGGUGAUGAAGGUCUUCGGAUCGUAAAACUCUUUUAUUGGGGAAAAACAAAUUUGUAAGUAAAUAUGCCCGUUUUGAGGGUACCUAUUCAGAAAGCCAGGGCUAACUACGU